RNAcentral lists this long non-coding RNA (181 nucleotides) under Pan troglodytes (chimpanzee). RNAcentral's name for it is "lincRNA". Lineage: Eukaryota; Metazoa; Chordata; Mammalia; Primates; Hominidae. The record is from RNAcentral.
GACAAAGGCUCUUUCCAUAUGUAUUCAAUUCCUACCACCGUAGUGGAAGAGAGGCUAUCCCUAUCUUUACAACUGAUAGCAUUUCCAACAGUAAGCUGUGAGAUUCUGCUUGAAAUCACCUCUCAAACAAAUAAAAAACAGACCUGGGAGACACGCUACACUCAUUCUGCUGAAGAAAUAG